GGGGGUGUAGUCUAGCCUGGCAGGAUUCGAGGUUCGGGACCUCGCGGCAGGAGUUCAAAUCUCCUCACCCCCA
RNAcentral lists this transfer RNA (73 nucleotides) under Candidatus Iainarchaeum sp. Its description in RNAcentral is "tRNA-Pro". It matches the Rfam family "tRNA". From Rfam's summary of the family: Transfer RNA (tRNA) molecules are approximately 80 nucleotides in length. Their secondary structure includes four short double-helical elements and three loops (D, anti-codon, and T loops). The record is from RNAcentral. Lineage: Archaea; Nanobdellati; Candidatus Iainarchaeota; Candidatus Iainarchaeia; Candidatus Iainarchaeales; Candidatus Iainarchaeaceae.